RNAcentral lists this ribosomal RNA (505 nucleotides) under uncultured bacterium. RNAcentral's name for it is "partial 16S ribosomal RNA". The record is from RNAcentral.
GGAGUUAGCCGGUGCUUCUUCUGUGAGUGAUGUCCUUCCUGCCGGCUAUUAACCCUCAGGCCUUCUUCCUCACUGAAAGUGCUUUACAACCCGAAGGCCUUCUUCACACACGCGGCAUGGCUGGAUCAGGGUUGCCCCCAUUGUCCAAUAUUCCCCACUGCUGCCUCCCGUAGGAGUCUGGGCCGUGUCUCAGUCCCAGUGUGGCUGAUCAUCCUCUCAGACCAGCUACGGAUCGUCGCCUUGGUGAGCCGUUACCUCACCAACCAGCUAAUCCGACAUAGGCUCAUCCGAUAGCGCGAGGCCCGAAGGUCCCCCGCUUUCCCCCGUAGGGCGUAUGCGGUAUUAGCCUUGGUUUCCCCAGGUUAUCCCCCACUACCGGGCAGAUUCCUAUGCAUUACUCACCCGUCCGCCGCUCGCCACCAGGGAGCAAGCUCCCCGUGCUGCCGCUCGACUUGCAUGUGUUAGGCCUGCCGCCAGCGUUCAAUCUGACCAGAUCAAAUUCUGA